GUCUCCUGCAGGCUGGGCUGACUCUGCUCUGACAUGGCAACACAGAGAUUGUUCCUCAUGCUUAAAAAGCUGGUGAAGCAUCAGUUUAGCUGGAGGGAAAUGCUGAUGCAAAGGAUACUCCAGGAGAAAAAUGAUGGGUGGAAAAAGUAAUUUGUCUUGUUCUUCCAUCCUAAUAGUUUGAAAGGGAGGAAAAAAGGCAAAGCCAAUGCCACCCCCUCAUCACCUGAAAAGUCUCCAAAAGAGCAGCCAAAAGAACAAAACAGAAGUAAAAAUGUAAGAGAAGAAGGAAAGACCUACUCAAUGGAAGACAUUCCUUGAGCUACACCUUUAAGUUUCUGAGGGGUUGAAAAGGAGCCAAAAUGCUGUUUCAGGUCAGUUCAUUCUUAUUUCAACAAAGACAGACUUCCAGCUCCAAGUAUGUCUGCUUAAAUUCAGUUCUCACAAAGGCUUUGCAUGGAGUGAUCACCAAAGCAGUCCCUCUAGCAUAAAAGUCUAAAAGCAGAUGAGAGAAACCCUGGAACUGUAGAAGCUGAUUGAAAAUUUAUCUUCCCUACUUGCUGUUGGAGUGGGACCCACAUGUGUAAGCAGUAAGUAUUUAAAUAU
RNAcentral lists this long non-coding RNA (603 nucleotides) under Zonotrichia albicollis (white-throated sparrow). RNAcentral's name for it is "lncRNA (ENSZALG00000006356.1)". The record is from RNAcentral. Lineage: Eukaryota; Metazoa; Chordata; Aves; Passeriformes; Passerellidae.